This 76-nucleotide non-coding RNA is filed under the name Pelagibacterium sp. The record is from RNAcentral. Lineage: Bacteria; Pseudomonadati; Pseudomonadota; Alphaproteobacteria; Hyphomicrobiales; Devosiaceae.
AUCGGCUCCGGUGGUGAUUUGGCCGGUCGCUUGCAGCCACUUGAAACAAAUCGCUAAAGACCGUUGCAACCGGCCG